CGUUGUCUUGGGCUUAUGCAAUUGUUCUUACCGAAGUACACAAACAUAAUGUCACUUGUAUUUCUUUUGCAUUUGUGCUCAAGCUUACAAACUGAGUUUGAAUACUGCAUGUUAUGCUAAUCUGUUUUUGGUGGUGCAGUAUACUGGGAUGAUGUUACUUGAGGAGAUGGCCUGUGUAAUGUUCUCUUGCCUGUGUUGUUAGUUCUGUGCCUUCUCAUUCAAGUUCCAUUGAGUGUGUUGGGUUCGCACCAAGUUUUAUUUAUUCAAAGAUUGCUCAAGUCUUGAAGGACAGUGACAUCCUGGAGAUGACAAUCAGACAGGACGAGUUCAGCUUGUGCCUAGGUCAAGAGGAGGUGAAGAACAGUCUCUAGGGCGUUCAAGAUUUGGUACUGGAAAUGCAGGUCAGGGGUAUACUUUUGAAGAGGUAUAACUUAGUUACAACUUGCCUAAAAUAUCUUAUUUUUGUUAUUUGUGACUGACAUAAAU
Lathyrus oleraceus (garden pea) is the source of this 486-nucleotide long non-coding RNA. RefSeq lists it as uncharacterized. The record is from RefSeq and is a predicted model, not a curated record. Lineage: Eukaryota; Viridiplantae; Streptophyta; Magnoliopsida; Fabales; Fabaceae. The transcript has 3 exons.